This 84-nucleotide transfer RNA is filed under the name Sandaracinaceae bacterium. Its description in RNAcentral is "tRNA-Leu". It matches the Rfam family "tRNA". Rfam says of the family: Transfer RNA (tRNA) molecules are approximately 80 nucleotides in length. The record is from RNAcentral. Lineage: Bacteria; Pseudomonadati; Myxococcota; Polyangiales; Sandaracinaceae.
GCGGAAGUGGCGGAACUGGCAGACGCGCUGGAUUCAGGUUCCAGUGCCCGAAAGGGCGUGAAGGUUCGAGUCCUUUCUUCCGCA